AACCUAGCACACCUGCGGUGUGUACCUGCGGAGGGAUCAUUAAUGAGUGUAAUCUACCCCUUAAAAAAGGGUGGUACCUCCCCGUCCUUUGCAGGCCCUCCCCCCUUUUUUUUUGGGGGGGGGCUUUUUAAGACUUUCUGCUUCGGCGGGGUUAUUCCCGCCGGAACACCCUCAAAAAUCUCUCAAAAAAAUCGUUCAGUCCGAGAAAAUUGAAAAUAUAAAAAAAACUUUCAACAAUGG
Molecule: unclassified non-coding RNA, 240 nt
Filed under: soil metagenome
Description: partial contains 5.8S ribosomal RNA, internal transcribed spacer 2, and large subunit ribosomal RNA
Source: RNAcentral